Molecule: ribosomal RNA, 253 nt
Filed under: uncultured bacterium
Lineage: Bacteria
Description: partial 16S ribosomal RNA
Rfam family: Bacterial small subunit ribosomal RNA
Source: RNAcentral
UACGUAGGGAGCAAGCGUUGUUCGGAUUUACUGGGCGUAAAGGGCGCGUAGGCGGCAAAUUAAGUCAGCUGUGAAAUCUCCGAGCUUAACUCGGAACGGUCAGCUGAUACUGAUCUGCUAGAGUGCGGAAGGGGCAAUCGGAAUUCUUGGUGUAGCGGUGAAAUGCGCAGAUAUCAGGAAGAACACCCGUGGCGAAGGCGGCUCUCUGGGACGGUACUGACGCUGAGACGCGAAAGCGUGGGGAGCGAACAGG